This 134-nucleotide non-coding RNA is filed under the name Aspergillus carbonarius ITEM 5010. RNAcentral describes it as "Eukaryotic small subunit ribosomal RNA". It matches the Rfam family "Eukaryotic small subunit ribosomal RNA", at positions 1700 to 1831 of the family's 1831-position model. Lineage: Eukaryota; Fungi; Ascomycota; Eurotiomycetes; Eurotiales; Aspergillaceae. The record is from Rfam by way of RNAcentral.
AGUGAGGCCUCAGGAUCUGCUUAGAGAAGGGGGCAACUCCAUCUCAGAGCGGAGAAUUUGGACAAACUUGGUCAUUUAGAGGAACUAAAAGUCGUAACAAGGUUUCCGUAGGUGAACCUGCGGAAGGAUCAUUA